This 498-nucleotide ribosomal RNA is filed under the name uncultured bacterium. RNAcentral describes it as "bacterial SSU rRNA". It matches the Rfam family "Bacterial small subunit ribosomal RNA", at positions 28 to 507 of the family's 1533-position model. The record is from RNAcentral.
GGCUAACGCUGGCGGCGUGUCUUAGCCAUGCAAGUCGAGCGGACUUAUGGGGUAACUUAUAAGUCAGCGGCGGACGGCGGAGUAACACGUAGCUAACCUACCCUCUGGACGGGGAUAACCUACCGAAAGGUGGGCUAAUACCCGAUGUAGUCAUCCUGUAUAGGGGUGAUGAAAGGUGGGCUUCUGUUUGCAAGCUCAUGCUGGAGGAGGGGGCUGCGGCCUAUCAGGUAGUUGGUAGGGUAAUAGCCUACCAAGCCGAUGACGGGUAGCCGGCCUGAGAGGGUGACCGGCCCGAGGGGCACUGAGAUACGGGUCCCACUCCUACGGGAGGCAGCAGGCUAGAAAUUUGGGCAAUGGGGGAAACCCUGACCCAGUGACGCCGCGUGCAGGAAGGAGCCCUUCGGGGUGUAAACUGCUGUCGUGUAGGGAGAAGGGUACUAAGGUGAACAAUCUUAGUACUUGACGGUACUACAGGAGGAAGCCCAGGCUAACCUCGUG